AGCAGCCGCGGUAAUUCCAGCUCCAAUAGCGUAUAUUAAAGUUGCUGCAGUUAAAAAAGCUCGUAGUUGAAUUUCGGGAUCGAUAUAUCGGUCGUGCCUCGGUACGUACUGGUAUUUUUCGGUUUCUCCCUUCUGACGAACCUUGAUGUCAUUAAUUUGGUGUCUUGGGGAAUCAGGACUGUUACUUUGAAAAAAUUGAGUGUUUAAAGCAGGCUCACGCUUGAAUACAUUAGCAUGGAAUAAUGAAAUAGGACGUUUGAUUCUAUUUUGUUGGUUUCUAGGAUCGACGUAAUGAUUAAUAGGGAUAGUUGGGGGCAUUAGUAUUCAAUUGUCAGAGGUGAAAUUCUUGGAUUUAUUGAAGACUAACUACUGCGAAAGCAUUUGCCAAGGAUGUUUUCAUUAAUCAAGAACGAAAGUUAGGGAUCGAAGACGAUCAGAUACCGUCGUAGUCUUAACCAUAAACUAUGCCGACUAGGGAUCGGAUGAUGUUAAUUUUUUAUGUAACUUCAUUCGGCGCCUU
This 520-nucleotide ribosomal RNA is filed under the name uncultured Glomus. RNAcentral describes it as "SSU rRNA". It matches the Rfam family "Eukaryotic small subunit ribosomal RNA", at positions 569 to 1089 of the family's 1831-position model. Lineage: Eukaryota; Fungi; Glomeromycota; Glomeromycetes; Glomerales; Glomeraceae. The record is from RNAcentral.